ACACUUGUGUCGUCGUCACUCUGAAACAGCACUUUCAGAAACAACCAUGGGUCGUUAUGGUGUGGCUGUUCUGGCUCUGCUCGUUCUCCUGAUGCUUUAUGUUGCAGAGAACGAGGCUCUGAGUUGCGACAGGAUCUAUGGGACAACAUGUAGAUCUGAGUGUCUGUCAUAUGAAUAUGCACUUAGUGUGGGCUGCGGCGACCAACUGUGUUGCUAUUAUUAUUAAUGGGCCUCAUUCAGACAGAGCUGGAAUCAGAUGGUUGGACAGACAGAAGAUGAUGUCGUUAACUCUACUGACCUCGAAAUAUUCAAAUCAAUUCUUCUGCUGAUUUCAGUUCAGGUGGAAUAAAAAUAUUCCCUUAACAUCA
This is a long non-coding RNA of Solea senegalensis (Senegalese sole), 368 nucleotides long. RefSeq lists it as uncharacterized. NCBI's taxonomy places the organism in Eukaryota, Metazoa, Chordata, Actinopteri, Pleuronectiformes, Soleidae. The transcript has 3 exons. The record is from RefSeq and is a predicted model, not a curated record.